AAAAAGAAAGACGGAAGGAAAGAAAGAAAGAAAGAAAGAAAGAAGUCAUAAAGUUCCUGCGUACAGCUGUCUGUGCGCUUACAGGUUUCAGGCAAAAGCUUUGUCUUGUCUCUCUCUUCCCUCCCUUUCUCUCU
This 134-nucleotide non-coding RNA is filed under the name Chromera velia. Lineage: Eukaryota; Chromeraceae. The record is from RNAcentral.